ACACCUUACUUUAACAAGUUCUAUUCUAUAUGCUCGUACUUUUAUAUCCUUGAUUUCCAAGGAGAUAGGAAACUAUAUUUGGACAAUGAACCAUCGUUGUUUUACUAGAGCGUGAUUAACCUCACCCUUGGCUUGGUGUCUGGGCUACUGGUGUAGUAGAUGGUCGUUCUUGGCUUGCCUAGUUAAGUUGGGGUGGUCUUGUAAUUAUUUGACAAAAA
Small nucleolar RNA from Salvia splendens (bonfire salvia), 218 nucleotides. RefSeq annotates it as small nucleolar RNA U3. NCBI's taxonomy places the organism in Eukaryota, Viridiplantae, Streptophyta, Magnoliopsida, Lamiales, Lamiaceae. The record is from RefSeq and is a predicted model, not a curated record. The transcript has a single exon.